This 289-nucleotide ribosomal RNA is filed under the name uncultured gamma proteobacterium DCM-ATT-19. Its description in RNAcentral is "partial 16S ribosomal RNA". Lineage: Bacteria; Pseudomonadati; Pseudomonadota; Gammaproteobacteria. The record is from RNAcentral.
CNGGUUACCUUGUUACGACUUCACCCCAGUCAUGAAACACAAAGUGGUAAUCGUCCUCCCGAAGGUUAGACUAACUACUUCUUUUGCAUCCCACUCCCAUGGUGUGACGGGCGGUGUGUACAAGGCCCGGGAACGUAUUCACCGCAGUAUUCUGACCUGCGAUUACUAGCGAUUCCGACUUCAUGGAGUCGAGUUGCAGACUCCAAUCCGGACUACGACAUUCUUUAAAGGGUCCGCUCCACAUCACUGUCUCGCUUCCCUCUGUAAAUGCCAUUGUUACACGUGUGUA